This 254-nucleotide ribosomal RNA is filed under the name uncultured bacterium. Its description in RNAcentral is "partial 16S ribosomal RNA". It matches the Rfam family "Bacterial small subunit ribosomal RNA", at positions 524 to 776 of the family's 1533-position model. The record is from RNAcentral.
UACGAAGGUCCCGAGCGUUGUUCGGAAUCACUGGGCGUAAAGGGAGCGUAGGCGGCGCGGUAAGUCAGAUGUGAAAUCCCCGGGGCUCAACCCCGGAACUGCAUCCGAUACUGCCGUGCUAGAGGAUUGGAGAGGUAGCUGGAAUUCUUGGUGUAGCAGUGAAAUGCGUGGAGAUCAAGAGGAACACUCGUGGCGAAAGCGAGCUACUGGACAAUAUCUGACGCUGAGGCUCGAAGGCCAGGGUAGCGAAAGGG